GCAGGUUUAGCUCAGUGGGUAGAGUGUUCCAUUGUCUGCGGUUCAAUUCCGUCAACCUGCACCA
This 64-nucleotide transfer RNA is filed under the name Pantoea sp. RNAcentral describes it as "tRNA-Leu". It matches the Rfam family "tRNA". Rfam says of the family: Transfer RNA (tRNA) molecules are approximately 80 nucleotides in length. Their secondary structure includes four short double-helical elements and three loops (D, anti-codon, and T loops). Lineage: Bacteria; Pseudomonadati; Pseudomonadota; Gammaproteobacteria; Enterobacterales; Erwiniaceae. The record is from RNAcentral.